Molecule: non-coding RNA, 226 nt
Filed under: Kangiella koreensis
Lineage: Bacteria; Pseudomonadati; Pseudomonadota; Gammaproteobacteria; Kangiellales; Kangiellaceae
Also listed under: 1 other name
Source: RNAcentral
AGGUUCAUCCCCUGAUCAGGUCUUCAUAGGUCAAUUGACUGCGAAGAUAAUCGGGAAAUCAGUUUAAAUCUGAUGCUGCCCCCGCAACGGUAAUUGAUAGCGCUACUUGAUAGACCACUGAGUUAAAUUCAUCAUUCGAGAUAAUAGCUUGGGAAGGUAAGUAGCUAAGGGUCAACAGACCCUAAGGAUCAUAAGCCCGGAGACCGGCCUGAACAGUGUAUCGAGC